Molecule: long non-coding RNA, 2236 nt
Organism: Suricata suricatta (meerkat)
Lineage: Eukaryota; Metazoa; Chordata; Mammalia; Carnivora; Herpestidae
Exons: 2
Source: RefSeq, a predicted model, not a curated record
UGAACCGGAGUCAAAUGCUUAACCGACUGAGCCACCCAGGUGCCCCUCCAUUCUCUCAUUUUUAAAUGUUUAUUCAUGGACUAGUGAAAUAUUAGCCUCUAACAGUAAAAGAUGUUCUGUUUCUCUGUGCCAAAAUCCAUAAUGUAGCCAUUUUUGUUUUUGGUCCUGGCUUUCCUUACCAAUUUACAGUCUGUUCUUCCUCACAAUUAUCUCUAAACUUUAAUACAACUCCUUCCUAGAAGGGAUUUAGUAAAAUGAGUGGAGUCUUGGUCAUGUACAACUCAUUUUUAAGACCAUUCUUAUAGGUCUUAACAUUUCCCUGAUGUUUACAUUUCAUAUAGGAAAAAACUACAACCUAAAACUCAGUCCAACAUUUUAAAUGAAUUGAGAAGUGUGAGGAAUAAGAUUUGAGUUACAAAUCUAUCCAGUUAAGACCAGAAGCAAGUAUUUUAAAGCUCUGGAGCAUUAGCGGCAUAUAAAGCAACCAAGUUAAUCAGAAAACAGUCUUUUGGAAAUUGGUAAUUGAGGACAAGUUAACUAUUUUUGAGUAACCUACCAAAAAGGAACAGGAGAAACCACGUCAUAACAAAUUGUGGGACCAGGACCCAGGGAAUGGCAGGGGUCAACAGAGGAGGCUGCUAUCUCUGAAUAAACUCGUCCCGUUUGCCUCGGAUCACCAGUGUGUGCACAUUAGAAACAAGCAGAUUUGGGGUUCGAAACCUCUGAAGGCUAGCAGUAAAACGUACUGUCUUAUGUUGGUCUUAAAACUGUAGGGUUUGAAGUCAGAUUUUGUGGGUGAGGAUUAGAAUGCUGAAAUGGAUUAGAAAAUCAAAGUAUACCACAUGCAGUAGAGUUGUGAUAAAUUUUACAGUGCAUUAGAUAACUUGCACAUAGAUACACAUGUGGACGUGUUCCUGGUCAUAAUGUAAUUUAUUUUCCUGUUGGUAAUAAAGUUUAAAAACAUUGAAGUAGGCUAUUUCUGAGAUAGUAAGAGCAAGCACUGUCAGGGAGAUGGUCAGGGCAAAGUGGCAAUUUGCCAGAGGAGAGUUUUUGAUUCAGGUAAGAGACUGUGCUAAUAGAAUGACGAAUGACCAAAAUGUGAGGUGCACAGGGUCUGGGCAGUGAAGGAAUAUCCAGCCAGGCCCAGGAAGGAGCCUAACCUAUAAAAACACUGCCCCUCUGAUUCACACAGAAACAAGCUUAGACAAUUCUGGACUAUUGGAAAUCAAACCAAACGACAAUUUACAGAGCUCAGCAGGAUUUCAACCUCUUGGAAACCAAGAGGAAUCAAGGUCAUGAUAGAAUUUACUCUCCGAGAACCUAAACUUUGCCACCAGUGACAGUGGAAUUUGUUCCUACAACAAUGGCACUACUCUGCUGGCUCUUUCCUCAAUCCCUCCAGAACUCCUUCCUCUUCUAAAGAUCCAGGGCAGUGUUCAUACAGCUAGCUCCAACUUACAAGCCAGUGAAACCACAUCACCUACCCAUGCGCGAAAGGGUAGGGUGGCCAGGUAACCCUCUUUUAACCCUUAACCCUCUUUCUCUCCAUCCCCCAUCCUUAGGCUCUCCUGUUGCACCAGGGGAGCCAAAAUCAGGAAAGCUGAGCUUUGGUUUGGGGAAAUGGUGACCACUGGACCUGAAGAGUGAUUUGCCUGAUAACUGAUGCACGCUGUGCCUGUACCCUCAACAGGCUAAAUCCACACAUGUGAACAAUAGAGCAGAGAGAGGCUCUUCCAACCCCACAGACCACUUCUGGCAUGUUCCUUCCUAGGAAGAUGGCCUCUUCAUGAGGCAACAUGGUAAACCUAAGGUAAGCCAUGAAGAAAACUGGAAGGAUGUGUGUGCACAAGGACAACGGAGGCUCAUUUCCUUCUUACUAUGACAUCUAGAAAAACACGGUGUCUGAUUCAAGAAUUUUAGAAUGUUUGAGGAAAAAACACUUAAAUUAGGCUAAGAUUUAAUUUUUAGAUUUCUCAAUUUCCUUUCACAAAUGCUCUAUGUUCCAAACUUAACAAAUCUGGGCUUUCUCAGAAAUGAAUAAAAGUUAAUAGAAUGACUUGGCAGCAUCCUUUAAUGUCCUAAUGUUGAUGCAUGUAUCCCACUGUCUUAACAAAGAAGCUGGACUGAAUGAAAUUAUAGGGGGCCCAUGUGCUCACUCUGAACAGCCUGUUCGAUUCCUCUCAGUCUGGCAUAGGCAGUGUUUAUAUCCAGAGUAAAGUUGUCAAUUUGUUCUUGA